CGCCUAUUGAUGAUAGUAUUGUCUUCUGGCCGGGGCAGUUUCGUUAAGGGCUUCGACUCGUUCUGAACGAUAAAACUCGUCGCUUGUGGUACGGCUUUGGAAAUCGGCGAGGUAUAAUACAAAUGAAAGGUUAAAUCACUACACACCUUUAUUCUGUUAAGGUUAGUGUUCGCACACGGUCAUAUUUCCAUGAUACUUACAAUGAAUGUUUACGGAAGACAGACAGCCACCCGUGUUAAUUAGCCAUCUAGCAUGCUUUGAAAACCUAUGCGUAAGCUAACUGGGGAGGAGGUGUAGUUCCUCAAAGUGGAGGAACAACGUAUGGAUCUGUGCAAAACUGCUACAGUGGACGGCAUGGACAUUCUGUGUGUGAGGGAGUCCAAGUUUGCUGCAGACCACUGAAGAGCCUGGAAGCUGAACUGUGAUUGGUUGUAGAACUGGAGAAGAGGAGUUCUGAUUGGUGCAGAGAUGGGAAAGUUAUAACUGGUUUAAGAGCUUGAGGAGUGUUAAGAAUACAUUUGUCUCAGACAAUCUAAUCCCAGAGUGAUGAAAAGCUUCUAGUGUCACGUCAGUGUCUCUUCCCUGACACAGGGAGGCUAUGUGACCAACAAAGAGAGACUAUUCCAGAGACUACUCCAGUACAGAACUGCAACUGUUCCCAGUUUUAAAUUAAAUAGUACCUGCAAAACACCAGUCUGGCCUUCUAGGCAGAGUUGCAAAGAAAAAGCCAUAUCUCAGACUUGCCAAUAGGGAGUAGUACACAGCGUUGUACGGGGUGUUCAGUUUCUUGGCAAUUUCUCAAAUGGAAUAGCCUUCAUUUCUCAGAACAAGAAUAGACUGACGAGUUUCAGAAGUCUUUGUUUCUGGCCAUUUUGAGCCUGUAGUUGAACCCACAAAUGCUGAUGCUCCAGAUACUCAACUAGUCUAAAGAAGGCCAGUUUUAUUGCUUAUUUAAUGAAAACAACAGUUUUCAGCUGUACUAACAUAAUUGUAAAAGGGUUUUCUAAUGAUCAAUUAGCCUUUUAAAAUGAUCAACUUGGAUUAGUUAACACAACGUGCCAUUAGAACACAGGAGUGAUGGUUGCUCAUAAUGGGCCUCUAUCUACAUAAACAAUCAUCCAUUUCCAGCUGCAAUAGUCAUUUACAACAUUAACAAUGUCUACACUGUAUUUCUGAUCAAUUUGGGGUUAUUUUAAUGGACAAAAAAAUGUGAUUUUCUUUCAAAAACAAGGACAUUUCUGUGACCCCCAACGUUUGAAAGGUAGUGUACAGUUUACAGACACAGUAUAUUUUACAUUUGCUUUUACAUUUGUUAUUAGUCCCACCCUUCAGCUCCAUUCAAUCCUCCAAUCUAUCUCUUAACACCAUCUAUAUAGGAUUUCUAUUUGCCAUAUAUUUUUCAACUGUGAUGCUUCUCAGAAGUUCUGAACCUUUCUAUUCUCAUAGAUUCUACAGAUUGUAAAUUAAAGAUACUUAAAUAUCUGGAAAGCUGGGAAGGUUGUAUCUCCCAGAUAUGUAAAAAACAAAUAUGAGCUGGCGCACACCCAGAAUAAUAGUUUGUGUAGAGGUGCUGACUAACGGAGGAUAAACUAUCAAAAUAAAGAAAGUCGCACACUCCAUGUAUAAUCUCCCAGCAAUUUAAUGGGUAUUUACCAACGUUUCAGCAUCUCUGUGCCUUCCUCAGGGUAAUCAAAUCAAAUUGAUUUAUAUAGCCCAUUGUACAUCAGCUGAUAUCUCAAAGUGCUGUACAGAAACCCAGCCUAAAACCCCAAACAGCAAGCAGUGCAGGUGUUGAAGCACGUUGGCUAGGAAAAACUCCCUAGAAAGACCAAAACCUAGGAAGAAACCUAGAGAGGAACCAGGCUAUGAGGGGUGGCCAGUCCUCUUCUGGCUGUGCCGGGUGGAGAUUAUAACAGAACAUGGCCAAGAUGUUCAAAUGUUCAUAAAUGACCAGCAUGGUCAAAUAAUAGGUCUGGGACAGGUAGCACGUCCGGUGAACAGGUCAGGAUUCCAUAGCCGCAGGCAGAACAGUUGAAACUGGAGCAGCAGCACAGCCAGGUGGACUGGGGACAGCAAGGAGUCAUCAUGCCAGGUAGUCCUGAGGCAUGGUCCUCCGAGAGAGAGAAAGAAAGAGAGAAUUAGAGAGAGUAUACUUAAAUUCACACAGGACACCAGAUAAGACAGGAGAAGUACUCCAGAUAUAACAAACUGACCCUAGCCCCCGACACAUAAACUACUGCAGCAUAAAUACUGGAGGCUGAGACAGGAGGGGUCAGGAGACACUGUGGCCCCAUCCAAUGAUACCCCCAGACCGGGCCAAACAGGAAGGAUAUAACCCCACCCACUUUGCCAAAGCACAACCCCCACACCACUAGAGGGAUAUCUUCAACCACCAACUUACCAUCCUGAGACAAGGCCGAGUAUAGCCCACAAAGAUCUCCACCACGGCACAACCCAAGGGGGGCGCCAACCCAGACAGGAAGAUCACAUCAUUGACAUCACAUCAGUGACAGUAAUGUCAUGAGUACUUGAACCAGGUUAUGUAGACACACAGUGCAAUUAGUGUAACCAAUGACAGUACUGCGAGGGGUGUCAUAAUGAUUAAGUUAAUAAAAAAAUGUGAAAAUGUUAAAAAAUUGUAUAUGGCAUAUUAAAUAUAUUAUGCUAUUGUUAUCAUAUAGAAACAUAAUGGAAUAUUGUACAUCAUAUUAGCAUCAACAUACAUUGUUUCUUUCAAUUUCACAUAAUUUCAUUUUUGUUUUGGUUCAACCUUAAUAUAUAAUGAACAUCAUCAACACAGGGAACAUAUUAGGUGUACUGUACGCUAAUAAGCUGUAAAAAAUAAUAAUAAUAAUUGUAAGACUUGUUCAUAAAGGAAAAUGUGUUCAUAAGAAGGGCCAGAGAUCAAAGUCAAUAUUCAGACCACUAGGGGUCAAUGUUUUUAGAUAGGAUAUCCAGUAAGCCUCCCUUUGUAGUAGUAGGAUCUCGAUGUUACCUCCUCUCCUUGGUAGAGCAACAUGCUCAUUGCCUGUGUAGUUGAGGGAGGAGAUGGGAUGGUUAGCUUCAACAAAGUGAGCUGCUACUGGAUAGUCAAUGUUCUUACACCUGAUUGAGCUGCGGUGUUCAGCUAUGUGUUGUUUUAAUUGUCUUUUUAUUUGUCCUACAUAGGCUUUUCCACAUGAACAGGUGUUGAGAUAGAUUACUCCCUUGGUCUUGCAUGAGAUGAUACCCCUAACAUGGAUCUUUCGACCUGGAUGUGGGUGUCUGAAGAAAGACGUUUUUAUAGUACUAUUGCACUGUGCACAUGAGCCACAUGUGUAGUUCCCAUUUGGGAUAGGUGUCAAGAGUGGGCUCAGGGGGCAUGUCAGAUCUCACCAAACUAUCUCCAAUAUUGCAUAAACAUAGCGUGCAUCCUGGUGGUUGCAGUGGACUAAUUCCCUGGAUAGAGAAUGGAAUAUUAUAGGUUUGAAUCUCACUGAUGCCGCAUCACAAUAAAGAAUUACAUUUUGCAUGUUUAAUGCCUAAGGAAAUUAAUGUAUAUAUGUCUAUAUAGGUAUGUGUGAAUGCGUGUAUGGAUAUAUAUAUCUGCUAAAUGACGUAAAUGUAAAUAUAUUUACCAAAAAAAUGUAUGGGGGACUGGAAAUGAUGCAGACAAUUACAUUGAUGGAAGCAACAUUCUUUCCGCAAUAUUAAGCUGAUCCACCCCUUAAAAUGAAAAAAUAUGAAUUUCCAUGUUUCCUAUCUGUACUUGAAGUAAAAAAUCAAUAAAAAAAAGUUUACGCCAAGUCAGCUAGCAGUGUUAUUAAAAGUUGUAUUGAAACUUUCAGUGAACGUUUUUAAGGAAGUUAUUUAAAAAACUCCAAAUAUAUUUCUGUUCUCAGAGCAUUAAUACAACCUCCAUAAAAACACUUUCCAGGAACCAGAGUAAAAUGUUCUCAGAACCUCCCUGCAUCCUAAAAAUAAACCAUCCCAGAACAGACCAAAUGCACACUUGUGUUUUCAGAAUGUUGAAAAAACAUUCUGUUUUACCAGGCAGGAAAUGUAUGGCUUUGUUCCCACAACCUUUUUAAAAACCAAAAACAUACACUAUGUUCCCACAACUUCCAAGGAACCAAAUGUGCUAGUUGGGAAAUGUUUGGUAAAGCAGUGUCAGUACAAGACCCAUCGCACAGAAACAGACAGCAGAUUUUGUCAUUGUUAUUUGUUGAUAUCCUCUGUUUGAGCCCUAAUGGAGGGUGAGUGUUGACGGAGGACCCCGUUGAAGGCUGCUUUGCAUGUUGGUUGUUUUUUUACUGGGGCAGGGAUAGGGUCAGGGUGGCACAGAGCAUCCUUUUCUCCUAACCCCGCAAAGCAUCCGCUCAACUAAUGCAAAGUUUUUUUGCAUAGGAAAAUGAAAGUGUAGUCUUUAAAGGCUGAGGAGUUAACUAGGCAUGCAUGUUCAUUACUUUUGGAUCCAUCGACACUAAAGGUAAUAUAACUAUUUAAUUAAUUACCAGACCUGAAACUCUUGGCUGGUAAGACUAAUACUAACCUGUUCUACAAGAAAGUGUUGAAAAUGUGUCUGUACCCUAAAUCAUUAUCUGCUCAAUGUAUUGAUAAGCAAAUCUUAGUUUGUGGGUUAUAUACCCUCAAAUCCAUAUUUUUUUUACGGUACUAUCAAACCUAAUUUACAUUAGAAAUGUAUUACUACUCAAAAGAUUACAUGUAUACAUUAUGCUCAUUGUUUCAUGUAUUAAGAUAAUUGUAUGUCUGUUUAGUCUUCCCUCGGUCGGAAUAUAUGUGAAGCUCUAUAAACUAUCCACAGUUCCACACCCAUAAUAACACAUGAAAUAUACCAGAUGUUCUUUGUGGACAGAGCCAAACUGAUUUGCCUCGGAUGCAAAUAUCUACUGUUGUGCUGGGGAUGGAGGCUCAAGCUGCAGGCAACAUGAUACAGAAGACUGAGUGACAUUUGAAUCUCAACAGUGGAAAGGGCUUUUCAUACCCUUUGGGCCUAUCCUUGGUUUUUCAGAGAUUUGGAUUUACAAUAUUCAUGAGCCAUGGGGAUGCAUGAUGUCAUUGUUAAUUAAAUGUUAUUUUAGCCACAGUAAUAAUGUAGAUUCAAUAUUCUGGCUGUGGUGUAUGAUACAUUAAAUACAUUCCUUCCA
This is a long non-coding RNA of Oncorhynchus nerka (sockeye salmon), 5147 nucleotides long. RefSeq lists it as uncharacterized. The transcript has 2 exons. NCBI's taxonomy places the organism in Eukaryota, Metazoa, Chordata, Actinopteri, Salmoniformes, Salmonidae. The record is from RefSeq and is a predicted model, not a curated record.